GAUGAAGAACGUAGCGAAAUGCGAUAAGUAAUGUGAAUUGCAGAAUUCAGUGAAUCAUCGAAUCUUUGAACGCACAUUGCGCCCGCCAGUAUUCUGGCGGGCAUGCCUGUUCGAGCGUCAUUACAACCCUCAGGCCCCCGGGCCUGGCGUUGGGGAUCGGCGGAAGCCCCCUGCGGGCACAACGCCGUCCCCCAAAUACGGUGGCGGUCCCGCCGCAGCUUCCAUUGCGUAGUAGCUAACACCUCGCAACUGGAGAGCGGCGCGGCCACGCCGUAAAACACCCAACUUCUGAAUGUUGACCUCGAAUCAGGUAGGAAUACCCGCUGAACUUAAGCAUAUCAAUAAGCGGAGGA
Molecule: unclassified non-coding RNA, 353 nt
Filed under: soil metagenome
Description: partial contains 5.8S ribosomal RNA, internal transcribed spacer 2, and large subunit ribosomal RNA
Rfam family: 5.8S ribosomal RNA (bases 1-120)
Source: RNAcentral